Molecule: ribosomal RNA, 457 nt
Filed under: uncultured Methanomicrobiales archaeon
Lineage: Archaea; Methanobacteriati; Methanobacteriota; Methanomicrobia; Methanomicrobiales
Description: bacterial SSU rRNA
Rfam family: Archaeal small subunit ribosomal RNA
Source: RNAcentral
ACAACAGGUGGAGCCUGCGGUUUAAUCGGACUCAACGCCGGGAAACUCACCAGAUAAGACAGCUGAAUGAUAGUCGGGCUGAAGACUCUACUUGACUAGCUGAGAGGAGGUGCAUGGCCGUCGUCAGUUCGUACUGUGAAGCAUCCUGUUAAGUCAGGCAACGAGCGAGACCCACGCCAACAGUUGCCAGCUCGUCCUCCGGGAUGGUGGGGACACUGUUGGGACCGCUCUGCUAAAGAGGAGGAAGGAAUGGGCAACGGUAGGUCAGCAUGCCCCGAAUUAUCUGGGCUACACGCGGGCUACAAUGGGUGGGACAAUGGGUAUCGACACCGAAAGGUGAAGGCAAUCUCCUAAACCCAUCCGUAGUUCGGAUUGUGGGCUGCAACUCGCCCACAUGAAGCUGGAAUCUGUAGUAAUCGUGUCUCAAAAUGGCCCGGUGAGUAUGUCCCUGCUCCUU